This 411-nucleotide ribosomal RNA is filed under the name uncultured prokaryote. Its description in RNAcentral is "bacterial SSU rRNA". It matches the Rfam family "Bacterial small subunit ribosomal RNA", at positions 505 to 918 of the family's 1533-position model. The record is from RNAcentral.
GUGUCAGCAGCCGCGGUAAUACGGAGGAUGCAAGCGUUAUCCGGAUUCAUUGGGUUUAAAGGGUGUGUAGGCGGGACAAUAAGUCAGUGGUGAAAUCUUUCGGCUUAACCGGAAAACUGUCAUUGAUACUGUUGUUCUUGAGUUCAGUUGAGGUGGGCGGAAUGUGUAAUGUAGCGGUGAAAUGCAUAGAGAUUACACAGAACACCGAUUGCGAAGGCAGCUCACUAAACUGUUACUGACGCUGAGGCACGAAAGCGUGGGGAGCGAACAGGAUUAGAUACCCUGGUAGUCCACGCUGUAAACUAUGAAUACUAGAUGUGUGCGACAUAUUGUACGCGUCUAAGCAAAAGCAUUAAGUAUUCCACCUGGGGAGUACGGCCGCAAGGUUGAAACUCAAAUGAAUUGACGGGG